CCCUUUCUACACGUUAUCUUUUCUUCUCCAAAACCUCCACUCCUAAAAUCUCUCCAACCAAAUACCCCUUUUUACGCCACAUACAUACGUAUACAUAUCUUCCCUUUACUCUCAGCAAAUUACCGUCUCCUGUUCUGCAAUUUUUCUCCUCCUCCGGUAAGUGGGAAGGAGAAGCUGAGAGUGUUGUGAUUACCGUGUUUGUGUGCGAAGUUUGCUUAUUUCCAAAGAUUGAGCGGCGAUGGGCGUGGAGGAUGUUGAGCAGAGUCCAUGGAUUGUUUUGUCAUGGUUAAUAAUUGUUGGUUUUGUCGUGUCUUCAUACUCGGCAUUUUCCGUGUCUUGAACGCUUCCGCUAAGAGUCCUUUUCUUUAGAAUUGUUUAUUCGUGGAGAGUCUAACUCGUUUGAAAAUUGUUUAUUGUCCAUUCUUUAUUUACUUAAGGUUGGUAUUAUUGUUAAGUUAAUAUUAUGACGUUUUCAAAGUUAAUCCAAUUAUUAAAUUUUUGGUCAAA
Long non-coding RNA from Salvia splendens (bonfire salvia), 507 nucleotides. RefSeq lists it as uncharacterized. Lineage: Eukaryota; Viridiplantae; Streptophyta; Magnoliopsida; Lamiales; Lamiaceae. The record is from RefSeq and is a predicted model, not a curated record. The transcript has 3 exons.